This 433-nucleotide ribosomal RNA is filed under the name uncultured bacterium. RNAcentral's name for it is "partial 16S ribosomal RNA". It matches the Rfam family "Bacterial small subunit ribosomal RNA", at positions 29 to 507 of the family's 1533-position model. The record is from RNAcentral.
AACGAACGCUGGCGGCAUGCCUAACACAUGCAAGUCGAACGAGACCUUCGGGUCUAGUGGCGCACGGGUGCGUAACGCGUGGGAACCUGCCCUUAGGUUCGGAAUAACUCCCCGAAAGGGGUGCUAAUACCGGAUAAUGUCUUCGGACCAAAGAUUUAUCGCCUUUGGAUGGGCCCGCGUUGGAUUAGCUAGUUGGUAGGGUAAAAGCCUACCAAGGCGACGAUCCAUAGCUGGUCUGAGAGGAUGAGCAGCCACACUGGGACUGAGACACGGCCCAGACUCCUACGGGAGGCAGCAGUGGGGAAUAUUGGACAAUGGGCGAAGGCCUGAUCCAGCAAUGCCGCGUGAGUGAUGAAGGCCUUAGGGUUGUAAAGCUCUUUUACCCGGGAUGAUAAUGACAGUACCGGGAGAAUAAGCUCCGGCUAACUCCGUG